CGAGUUUACAACUCCCAAACCCCUGUGAACAUACCUUAAUGUUGCCUCGGCGGAUCAGCCCGCGCCCCGUAAAACGGGACGGCCCGCCAGAGGACCCAAACUCUAAUGUUUCUUAUUGUAACUUCUGAGUAAAACAAACAAAUAAAUCAAAACUUUCAACAACGGAUCUCUUGGUUCUGGCAUCGAUGAAGAACGCAGCAAAAUGCGAUAAGUAAUGUGAAUUGCAGAAUUCAGUGAAUCAUCGAAUCUUUGAACGCACAUUGCGCCCGCUGGUAUUCCGGCGGGCAUGCCUGUUCGAGCGUCAUUUCAACCCUCAAGCCCCCGGGUUUGGUGUUGGGGAUCGGCUCUGCCCUUCUGGGCGGUGCCGCCCCCGAAAUACAUUGGCGGUCUCGCUGCAGCCUCCAUUGCGUAGUAGCUAACACCUCGCAACUGGAACGCGGCGCGGCCAUGCCGUAAAACCCCAACUUCUGAAUGUUGACCUCGGAUCAGGUAGGAAUACCCGCUGAACUUAAGCAUAUCA
RNAcentral lists this ribosomal RNA (520 nucleotides) under fungal endophyte. RNAcentral describes it as "eukaryotic LSU rRNA". The stretch from base 151 to 304 matches the Rfam family "5.8S ribosomal RNA". The record is from RNAcentral. Lineage: Eukaryota; Fungi.